UGAAUGAACAUUGCCAAAAUACUCGGUUCAUGACUGAUCGAGUGGUUAUUUGCCAGGACACUAUUGGAAAGGUUCAUCGUCUGCCCUUGUCCUACUUCGGAACACCUCGUAUGGGCACGCUGCAUCUUGGUACAUUGUAAGAGCUGAUUCACCAAGGUCGUCUACUACGUGAGGGCGCUUGUCAACUCUAUAACUUGUCGAGACAAGUGUUGUUCACCAUUUGGGUUGGAAGAGCUUGAACAAUAUGAGUCUCCUUUAGUAGUGGAAGUGUAAUGGACUUUGGAGAGAGAUUUAAGUUACGAAAUAUCAAAUCUGCAGAGAAAUAGGGUGAAAAUACCCUAGGUUCAAU
Molecule: long non-coding RNA, 349 nt
Filed under: Malus domestica (apple)
Lineage: Eukaryota; Viridiplantae; Streptophyta; Magnoliopsida; Rosales; Rosaceae
Description: long non-coding RNA (MDOM_LNC012605)
Source: RNAcentral